GAUGAAGAACGUAGCGAAAUGCGAUAAGUAAUGUGAAUUGCAGAAUUCAGUGAAUCAUCGAAUCUUUGAACGCACCUUGCGCUCCUUGGUAUUCCGAGGAGCAUGCCUGUUUGAGUGUCAUGAAAUUCUCAAACCCAUAAGUCUUUGCGGGCUUACGGGCUUUGGACUUGGAGGCUUGUCGGCGACCGUGAGGUCACAUCGACUCCUCACAAAUGCAUUAGCUUGAUUCCUUGCGGAUCGGCUCUCGGUGUGAUAAUUGUCUACGCCGUGACCGUGAAGCGUUUUGGCAAGCUUCUAACCGUCUCUAACGAGACAGCUUACUUUGACCUCUGACCUCAAAUCAGGUAGGACUACCCGCUGAACUUAAGCAUAUCAAUAAGCGGAGGA
This 387-nucleotide unclassified non-coding RNA is filed under the name soil metagenome. RNAcentral describes it as "partial contains 5.8S ribosomal RNA, internal transcribed spacer 2, and large subunit ribosomal RNA". The stretch from base 1 to 120 matches the Rfam family "5.8S ribosomal RNA", at positions 35 to 154 of the family's 154-position model. The record is from RNAcentral.